ACAGGAAAAACCUUCUGGACGGAAUGCGCGCUUACCUUAGAUCUCAAGCGAACUAUUUCGGACCUUUACGCCAUAACAGUAUCUAAUUCAGAACAAGAAUUUUUACAAGUUCCGAGUUAACAGUGGUUGAAUUAAGGCACUGUAGGCCAAGAUAGUUAGUCUAUUCUAGGAGCGAGACACUUCGAGCUGUUUAACUGUACCGAUUGAGGAAACUACUUUAACCGCGGAAAUGAAAGUUUCAUUUGUAAUCUUCCUGUUCCUCCUCGUCCUCCUUGCCGAGCUCGAGCGCCAUUCAUCUGAUGCCCUCCCCCGACGAGGAGGUCGCAUACUGUCCAUGUGCAAAAGGAGGUUUAGUCGUUGCGGUAAGCGCCCUGGUUGCUGUAUGAGAUCCUGGAAAGUUUGCCGAUAUCAUGGCCGCUGGUGCAAUAAAACGAUGUGUACAAAGAUGUACCGAAAAUGCAUGUGUUCAGCUAUACGAGACAAGUUUGGAUACUAUUGUUAACACGAGUUGUUUUUAAACUAAACAAUAACUAAGUUGUGAAGUAGAAUAGUGCUAAAACUGAAGGAAAUAAAAAUGUAGUGGUGAGAUCAA
Molecule: long non-coding RNA, 592 nt
Organism: Exaiptasia diaphana
Lineage: Eukaryota; Metazoa; Cnidaria; Anthozoa; Actiniaria; Aiptasiidae
Exons: 2
Source: RefSeq, a predicted model, not a curated record